Homo sapiens (human) is the source of this 8957-nucleotide long non-coding RNA. RefSeq lists it as uncharacterized. The transcript is spliced from 5 exons. NCBI's taxonomy places the organism in Eukaryota, Metazoa, Chordata, Mammalia, Primates, Hominidae. The record is from RefSeq and is a predicted model, not a curated record.
UUGCCCAGGCUGGUCUGGAACUCCUGAGCUGGACCGAUCCUCCUGCCUUGGCCUCCCAAAGUGCUGAGAUUGCAGGAGUAAUUGGGCAGUAUCUUUUAACUGCAGUGGAGAAGUGUCAACACUACUUUGGCUGUGGGACCAGGAUCCUGCUGCCUGGAGGCAGAUUGAUAUUUUUAUUUCACCUUUAAAGGAUGUACAGUAAGGGUGAGAACAUCUCGAUGAAAUCUCUGCAGUAAAUAACUCUUGGAUCCCUUUCCCAUACAAGUGAAAGGACAAAAGGAUGAUAUGCUGAGAUGGCCUCUUCACCUGCACCAAUGCCAGGGCCAGGGUGGGUCUCAGCUACCCACCCCCAGGAUUUAUGAGGAUGGUGAAGAGUGGAGAGGGGUUCCCAGCAAAGGAUUUAGCAUGAGUAAAAUCAAGGAGGGAUAGAAGAACCAUCCUGAGCUAGAGGAGGUUUGAGAAGGAGAAUACUGAGAGAUCAGCAAACUGAGGCUCAGAAAGUGGAAAUAGGAAGCACAGCAAAUGCUAAGAGGAUCAGAACCUUAUGGAUCCCAAUCCAGUGCUCUUUCCUCUACACCACACCACUGGCUACCCUUUCAGACAGAGCACAGAGCAGACAUUUAACCAACUUAGUCACAAUAUGUCAAGGGAGGAGAAAGAAGCCCACAUUGUGUGCCCUUUCUAGGCAUUUGCAUUAUUCUAAAUGUCUUGCACCUUUAAUAUGUUUCCAUUUGCAGACACUAGAAAAGUCCUGGGCACCCUGUGGGGUGAUGAGGGAAGAUGACGUGCAUGUGUGUGUGUGUGUGUGUGUGUGUGAUGGAGACAUGGCUUGGGUGGGUGCAGAGUUCCAACUCAGUUUUCCCUAUGGGAAGCCUGGGUGCCUAUCUCCUUGGCUUUUACCUUGACCAGGGAGGGUAAGCAGUUUCUGUUCAGGGCAGACUCACUGGAUCUCACUUUGGGAUUUGGGGACUUGGACUGGAGUUCUUUAUUUGAACUGUUACUCUUUUCUUCUUUUGUGGUCAAAAUCCUCCCCAUAAUGAUGGCUUUGGGGAGAGUUUUUGCUUUUCCUUCGACUAACUCUCUGUUGUCUCAGACUUUGCAGUGUGCACAUCAAGUUUCUCGGGGCCAAUCCUGGCUUUGUUUCUGGGACCUCUGCUGUUUAAAAAGAAAAAGAACAAAGUUGUUCUUGUCCUUCCAGAGAGCGAGUACAAUUUGCCAGGACCUCGGAAAGAUAGUGCUAUGUAGGAAUAGACUAUGAAGACUGCUAAAUUGCCCUGAUAGUGUAAGAAAAAUAUCAGAGUCAGGCCCCAGAGGUUGACCCUGCCAUCAACUCUCUGUGUGACCCUUUCUCUGAGCCUCAGUUUCUUCCCUGGGAAUAUGGGGAGUUGAGCAUGUUUUCUUUAAAGUGUUUUAAUUUUAGCCAUCUAAAAUCCCAUAUUUCUUUAUUAUGCGAUUUCUCCCUUGGUCCGAUGUAUUUAUUGAAAACUCCUUUUGUACAAAACGCUCUGCAACCCCCUCUUCCUUACCUCCUCAUAUGGAAUGUUCUAAAGCAUAGUCGCAAAGUAAUGUAUCUCAUUACACAUCUCAUUACAUAAGCAAUGAGAGGGAAUUUUAGCAUUAGCAUCAUGGCUAAGGGCAUGGGCUCUGGGGCGGACCUCUCUGAUUAGAAUCCUGGCUUCACCACAUAUUAGCUGUAUGACCUUGAGCUAGUUACAUAAUCUGCCUGGAUCUAAGUUUCCUCAACUGUGAACCUGGGGAUACUAAUAGUACUUAUCUUACUGGGUGGAGAGUAAAUGAGGUUAUCUGGUAAAUUGCUUAGCACCAGUAUCGGCACAUAAGAAAGCACUCAGUAAAUGUUAGCAAUGAUUGCAAUCAGAAUUUCUGUUUUGUUAUAUAUCUUAUCACUCUCCUGACUGAAAUUCCUCAUCCCCAUCCCCUCUGUUGCCCAUGCCUAUGGUACAAGCCACUUAGUGUGGCUCACAAUGUUCCCUCUGACAUGGACCCUGCCCACAUCUUGAGUUUCCAAUCCAUUCUUUUGCCAUAAAAACAAACAAACAAAAAAAGCCAAAAAACUGUGAAAACUCUCACUCCAACAGUACCCAACAGCUAACAAUUCUCUUAAAUUAUGACACGGAUUCCUCCUUAAAUGUCCUUGUAUAGGUGAGUACCUUUGCCCAGGAAUGUCUGCCCUCAUCUUAGCUUCAAAGCCUGGUCCAGAUGCGCCGUCAUCUGUGAUGACUUCUGUAACCCUGCAGGUUGUUCCAAGGACAACCACUUUCCUUGGAAAAAUGAAGCACCCAGAGCACACUAUCAUUGGAUGGAUCCCAUGGUGCUGACAAUAUUUGUUUACUAAUCAAACUUCUUUGCUGUGAGCUACCUGUGGUUGCUUAUUGCUCAUUUUCAUUUUUAUUCUUGGUGUCUAACACAGCUCCUGAGUUAACUCUGCUCCCAUCAAGCCAUCUCUGUCACACACAGAGCAUAGGGUUGGUUCUCAGUGAAAUUUGCUGAGUUCUACAUGAAACAAGAAAAAUAGAUGUUGGGCAUAUCAAGAGCAUAGAAUAAAUCAAGUGGUUUUGGGGUGGGGAUGCAGGAAUAAUCCAAGAAGAUUCACCAAAGAGGUAAAUCUAGAAGUGUGUUUGGAAGCUAGUUCAGGGUCUCCUGCAUGGGAGCAGGGGCCUUUGUGGGGCUCAUACCAGGUAUCUCAGUCCCUACUUGGAAACAAGGAACAAGUAUAUGUUCACCUAACCAAAAAACCCAAUCUAGGUCCCACCACUAUCCCUUUGCUCAUGUCUGGAACCGGGGAAACCCUAGGGCUCCUUAUCUCUAACCCCCUCAUACUCUCUCACAAGCACCAAGCCAUAGAUUUAACCUCCAAAAUAUCCCUCCAAUCCACCCACUUUGCUCAAUUUUCACUGCCACCAUCCCAGUCCAAGCUACAAUUACCCUUUGCCUAGAUUCUUUACCUGUAAUAACUUUCUAACUGAUGUGUUGGUAUUCACUCUAGAGCCCUGUGUCAGUUAGAAUUAGGUUAAACUAUGAGUAACAGAGACCCAAAAUUACAUGAAAAGUCUGCAGGUGAGAAGUUCAGGGCUGGCAUGGUGGAUUUGCUCCAUGGUGUUGUCAGGCACUGCAACCCCUUUUUAUUUUAAUGCCCUGACUUUUUUAUCUUGUCACCUCAUGGACCAAGAUGGCUGCUCCAGCUCUAGCUAUUAUAUCCCCAGUCCACACAGCAGGAAGGAGGACACUCCCAUUAAGGAUACUUCUUGGAUAGCACCCACUACUUUCAUUCACAUCCCACUGGCCCAAACUGAACAUUGUGGCCACUCCUAGAUGUAAGAGAGACUUGGGCUGGAGUCCUGUGCCCAUUGAAAGAUGAGAGGCACUGAUGAAGACAGGGAGUGUUGAUACUGGGUGACAAUUAGUGGUUUGUAUAAUAAAGCUCUACAAAAAGUUCAUUGUCAUUUCACUCUCCAGAUUAAAACACUUCAAUGGCUCUCAAAUUCUUUCAGAGUGAAAUUCAAACUCUUAAUAUGGCCUACUAGAUUCUUUAUGAUCCUCUUUUGCCUCAAGUCCCUAACCCCCAGCCCCUAUGCUGUAACCAUCUUCUCUCUCACUUUUUUUUUUUUUUUUUGCAUGUGCUAUUGCUGCUGUCAGAAACAUUAUUUGCAGCACUUUUGUUUUUUUUUUUUUUUUUGCUUCAUGGCAUACCCUUUCAGCCCAUCUGAUUUCAGCACAGCUAUUGCGGACACUUCCAGGCAUUCCCGUCUGAAACACAGGCUACAUUGUCUUUCUGUUUUUCUGAUGGAGGGCUUUCUCCAAAGUGGUGGAAAGUUGCUGAGCAGGAUAGUUUACAUCCUCAGGGGAACUAAUGGGGGAUAGUAGUUAGUGAGCAAGUGUUUCUGUCCUCUGUUCCUGGAGAAACAAUUUUAAGGUGUGUUCUACGUAGUUCUUCAGAGGAUCUGCAGCAGGACUGAGCUCCAGUAGCCCACAGUGUAACCAGACCAACCAUAUACAUUUUAUUGGUCUUUCUCCUUCCUUGUCUUGCUGUCCUUACUCCCUUACUCCAGUUUCCUAGCAUCAUCUCCCAAGUCAACUACCUGCAUCUCUGACCUUGUUUCAGGUUCUGCUUUUAGGGAGAGAUCAACUAUGACAGCUGAUACUAGAAGUCACCCUAAAAAGCUCCUCUUCAGUAUGGGAUUCUGGAACUGGAUCAUUAACCAGUCAGAUGGCAAUAAGGACUCCUUUGCAGGCAUCCAGUGUGGUGUGUGGAAACUUUUAAUUUACUGAGCAUCUAAAUUCUUGAGAUUUUCACUUGGUGGACUGGGUGUGGUACAGGACCAGCAAUGCUAAAAACCAAGGCCAGGAGUGAAUGAUAAGGAAGGCAAAGCUGCAAAGAGGGUUUAACAUGCAGCUUUAACAGGUCUUUUAGGCUCAAGUCAGAUCCCUGUUAGAGAAGGAGUGGGACUGUGAGAUAUGAGCUGGGGAUAUUUGGGUGGAUACAUCUGAGAACAUUGAACUUCCAGCUUCCCCUGAACCCUCCUGGCUGACAAUAGCAGCCUCUUCCCCCUUGUUAGAGUAGAUCAGCCUCUCCUUGCCUCUCUUAUGCAGAAACCUCUCUUGUGGUAGAUGCCUUGCAAGAUGAUACUUGUCCAGCUUCAAGAUCUGCCCCUACCUAUAUCUAGAUUAAUAACUUGGGUCAGGCCACAUGCAGUGGCUCAUGCCUGUAAUCCCAGCACUUUGGGAGGCCAAGGUGGGUAGAUCAUCUGAGGUCAGGAGUUCGAGACCAGCCUGGCCAAUAUGGUGAAACCCUGUCUCUACUAAAAAUACAAAAAAAAAUUAGCCGGGCAUUGUGGUGGGCGCCUGUAAUCCCAGCUACUCAGGAGGCUGAGGCAGGAGAAUUGCUUGAACCCAGGAGGCGGAGGUUGCAGUGAGCCAAGAUCGUGCCAUUGCACUCCAGCCUGGGUGACAAGAGCAAAACUUCAUCUCAAAAAAACAAAACAAAACAAAACAAAACAAAAAAGAACUCAGGUCAGGUCUUAGCAUAGCUCAAGAGAGGGAGUAUAAUCCCUGUUAAGGGAGGAAAUAGCUUAUUCACUGAAAGAGUUGCAGGAGGACCUGGCUACUGCAUGGCAGCUGAAACUGGGAAAUAUGUAUAAGAAUGGAAUUCGAGAAGUUGGACUUGGGUGGGGUGGAAUAUAGACUGGAAAUAAGACAUUUAUUGACAUGGGGACACUCUUCCAAGACAGGAUUUAAUGUUUUGGCAGGGAAUCCUGGAGCCUUCUUAUGCUGCUUGGACAGCUCCUUGGAAAUGUCAGAACUGUUAGAGAAGUGAGUGUAUUAGAAUGGAUUUUAUUACACAAAACCAGAAAACCUAUCAUGUAAAUCUAUGUACCCAGAGAAGGGCAAUAGGACACUCUCACCAUUAGAAUGAUAAGCAAUGCACUAGUGAGGGAGGCUCCAGCCUCAAUGAGUGGCUUGGUGGUGGCUGUCCUCUGUAGGCUGGAGCAGACAGGAGAUGAAGCCAUGGGGUUGAGUUCUCUGUGUCAAUGGAGAAGAGAAGAACCUGGACUAGUAGAGGUCUGGUGUUGGCAUUAACAAUCAGAGGCAAAGUGGACAUAAUUACUGUAGUAGGAAGCAAGGCCAGAGUGGCCACCAGUGUGCCUUAACAUACAAGGAGCUCUGGUCCUGAAAAACACACCAUGGUGUUCCCAGGGUCUAGAUAAUAGGUGGCCAACGAGGGUAUUCCAUGACUUGCAUAACCACAAGAAAAUUAAAACAAAACAAACUGAUUAUCUAAUGGCUGAUAUCAGCCACUGCAAUAGAAAAUCAUGAUUCCUCGUCCUCUGUCCAGAUCUGAGCUAGUUCUCAGACCCAGAGCCCAUCCACUGAUGGAAAACCAGGUCCUCUUGAGGAAGAACCUGAAAUGUUACCAAAGUGUAUACAAUAAAUAUUCCCUUUCUUAUUCAACAAAGGGACCCUUGGCCAUUUGCCAAAGACAGGGGAUCACCCAGACCUUUUGAGCACUGUUGAAUACAAGGUCUGACUAUCACUGAUGCUAGGGGACCUGGCCUGUGAUGCCAUCAAAGUUCCCCAGUGAAAUUGGGAGUUUGUGAAGGCAAUGUGGUAGAGUUCUACCCUACAUUCACUUUCCAGUACCUCUAAUAGUCCCUGGACUAUUCUUCCCUAACCCUUGUAUGCAUUAUUGAGAUGGAUAUAUUUAGAUGUUGGCAGACCCUCACAUUGGUGCUCUCACCUGUGGAGUAAGAGUUUUUAUGGUAAGAAGAGCUAAAUGGAAUCUCUUGAAACUGCUCCCCUCUCCAGCCAAAAUAGAAAGUCAAAAGCUAUCCAGGUGAAAUUGCAGAGAUUAGAGCCACCCUGAAAGAUGUAAAAGAUGCAGGGUGGUUGUCUCCAUCAUAUCUCUACUCAAUUCGCUUUUUUGGCCUUUACCCUCAUCCGAUUUGAUUUGUUGUUCCUGUUUGCAGUGCCUCUGCUAGUAUGACUAUCUGAGAUCUCAAAACGUGACUGAUUUAUCUGCAUCGGAUCCCACAAAAACAUAAUCUCAGACCAAGAGAUUUAUUUCAUGGUGCAGGAGGUCAACAUAGUCAUGAGACAUGUAAUUCACUGGUCCUAUUAUACACCAGACCACUUAGAAGCAGGUGGCCUGAUAGAAUACUGGAAUAGCCUAUUAAAGGCUUGGAGAAGACACCAGUUUGUGGAAAAUACCUUGCAGGGUUGUGGUACUGACCUCCAGGAUGUGGUAUGCAUUGAACCAAUGGUUCAUGCAUGGUGCUGUGUCCCCCGAGAGCUAGAAUAUACAUCUGGGAAACAAGGGUUGGAAGCAAGUUGGGUCCAUCUAUCAUCACUUCCAAUAACCUUCAAGAAGAAGAUGUGCUUUCUGUCUCCCCAACUCUAGGCUCUGGUGGAGGCCAGGUUCCGGUUCUACAGGGAGACACAGUAGAGUUCUACUGUGACUGACCCUGAGUGAUCCCUGGUCACUUUGAAUCCUUCAUGUCAGUGGACUAGCAAAAAGAAGGUCGGAGUAAUUGACCACGAUUUUCACAAAGAGCUGGGGUUGCUGCUACCUAACCAGGAUGGGGAAGACUCUGUCUGGAACUCAGGGGGUUCACUGGCGCAUCUCUUAAUGUUUCCAUACCUGAUGAUAAUAGUGAAUAGGUAAUUGCAGCAAAAACAGCCUAAUGGGACUGAGGCAACCAGGGGCUCACCCCCCUUACCUGUCUCAUGGAUGUUGGUCUGGGUACCUCACUGAGCAAGUGACCCAGGCUGGCAGAAUCAGGUAGGCUGAGGGUAAAGGAAAUAUAGAGUAAGUGGUAAAGGGCAUGGGGGAUGGAUAUCUCUCAGGACCUGCUGUAGCUGUUGGAACUGUACCCUGACACAUUAACCUUCCUGUCUGAAGAACGUUUUAGAAAAUAGAGAUUAAGGCCUGCCUUUUCUUGAAAAUUCAGCAACAAGGUGAACUUAUUUUGGGUCACAGGCAGAUCUGAGCUCUACAAGGGGUGGACUGUAGCAGACACUUUGUGUGCCCCACACCACAUUCCCUUCAUUGAUCUGAUUUCAGUGCAACUGUGGUAGACAAUUCUGGGCAUGCUGCCAGCAUCUUAUCCCAAGCAUGCAAAGUGGUAUCUCUCUGCUUUUCAGACUCAGGGCUUUCUCAGAAGUCUGAGAAGGCUGCUCAGCCUGUACAAGCAUAAUGAAAGUGCAGGGAAAUGAAUACCACUGGGGCUAACCCUCAAACAAUGGGGACAGGAGUCAGAGGAUAAUGUCCUAUCCUCCUUCCUUAAGGGAUAAUUCUGUGGCAUAUUCAAUGUGGUUAUGCAGAGGGUCUGGAGUUUUCUACAGAAGUAACUCACUUAAUCUAUCUUUACUGAUUUCUCUUUUUCCCUGUCUCACUCCCCAUUUGACUCCCUCCCUCUGGUUUCUUGGGAUUAUCUCCCAAGUAAAUUAUCUGCCCCGAAGCCCUUGUUUCAGGCUCCUUUUUAAAGGGGAACCCAAACUAAGAUACUUGUUUUCUUCUUUGAGCUUAUAUAAUUCCUAUUCAGAUCUUCUUCUAUGCCUCUUCCUCCCGAAUUCUUCCCUGACCACUGGGCCUGGGAGAGAGACCCCUCUUUAUUAUGACUGUGCUCCCAGUGCCUAGUAGGGUGACAGGUGAAUAAAAUUCUCUCUGAAAAUAUUUGUUGAACAAAUAGCUUUCCCAGUGGACUCUUCCCAGCAAGAGAGGAGUCACGGAUGACAAUUGUAAGUGUUGCCACCCUCCGACAUGAUGCCGCAAUACCCGAAUACGCCAAUGCCAGCUCCCUGUGUGGGGACAGAAGUCCAUUAUCUGGUCUUAUCAGACUCUAAUACACCUCAGCGAGGGGCCUUGGUAACUAGGCUGGAUAAGUGCUGCACAGACACCAUCUCCCUCCCUCGUCUUCCUCUGCUCCCCCUCCCCGCCACAUUAAGUGAGUAAGUAAUGAGAAUGGCUAGAAAUUGAAUUUUAUGAAAAAGUAAUCUGCGGCUUAGAGAACAAGCAGGAGGAAGGGGGAGAGAUUUGAUGAGAUGGGGGAGAUGAUUUCAGGGCCAUCAGGGAGAAUGAAGGAACAUGGGAGCCGACAGGAGAGUCAGGUAGGAGAGUCAUUCAAUUAGGGAAGCUGAGACGGUGGGGGGACUUGGUCCCCUUCUUCUGCUCUGUCCUUUUUUACCUCUAUCCUUUUCAUCUCAUCUAUGGGUAUUUUGUCUUCAUGCUCAUGGGGUGGAGAGGAGGGAGACCAAGACAGAGAUGGCAGCAGCAGGGAGCAGAAGACGUUCUGACCACGGAAUACAUUACUCUGCCUGCAGUUCAGAGAACACUGAUGACUGGAAUGAACAAGGAAGGAAGGCAUGGGGCUGGAGGAGGUGCAGGGAUAGAUGAAGACACAGAGUGCUAGCAUGGCCGCCACCUACCCCAUCCCUCUCCACUA